RNAcentral lists this long non-coding RNA (352 nucleotides) under Phoenix dactylifera (date palm). Its description in RNAcentral is "long non-coding RNA (PDAC_LNC000853)". The record is from RNAcentral. Lineage: Eukaryota; Viridiplantae; Streptophyta; Magnoliopsida; Arecales; Arecaceae.
AGAAUGUUGAACACCUGCAACCAUGCCUCCUGCUGAUCUCAACCCAUCCUCUCCACCUUUUAAUCUUGAUGACAUACUAAAUGAUGAUGACAUUGAAGAAGUAUCCGAUGACAAGUUAUGCGCGCCCGAUGACUCUGUGGAGGACUUGGAGUGGCUCCCGGCUCUCUUUGGUGACUCGCUGGGCUUCAACUCACCAUCCAAGGGUGCAGACAAGAAGAGAGAGAGAGCUUCGUGAUGCUUUAACUGGUCGGAAAUUGCCCACAAAGCCAAAGACCAGACAGGUCGGAAGAAAGACAUGGUCUCUGGAAACCCAGAGCACCUUCUGCAUGGUUACCUAUUAAAGAAUGGUGCU